GGCCCGCUUUACAGAUGUCCCCGCCCACUCCCCGCAAACUCCGCCCCUUGGACUGGUUUAUUCUCUUCCAGACCCGCCCCACCUCUACCCAUAACUCCGAGUCCUUCCUUAGGCUCCAGCCAGCGUCCUUCUUGCUCCCGGCCCUGCCCCCAGCCCCGCCCCGUGGCUCCGGCCCCGCCUCGCCGCCUUUCUCGGAGACCAAGGCCAGGUCCCCACUGCAGCCGCGGCGCCAGCAGGAGGGAGGGAGGAGGCAGAGGGGGAAGGGAGAAGGGCGGGCUCCUCAAGCCCAGCCCCGCGCUCAUCGUCCGUGCCCGCAGAUUCGCCACAAACGGCCCGACCACUCCGGAUCUGGAAUACCGCGACUUCAGCUUACAGGAACUCAACUCUAAGGUGGAGGUGCUACAGAAGUCAUGUGGGGUGCCUACGGGCCCUUCCGAGUCUCAGAGAAAGGCCUCUCAAGACUCAGCAGGCGGGCGGGGAUCUGUGGCGAAAGUGCAGAUCGACAGCGCCGAGGCGCCGCGUUUACCCUGCGCAGACGCCGUCGCCGCCGCUGCUGCCGCCGCCGCUGCCACUGCCUUUGCCGCCACGGUCUCCGCCGCCGCCGUCCCCGCGCUGCCUCCGGGGUCUUCCAUUGUUCCGGCCGUGCCAGGUCCCGAGGCCGGACAACCUAGAGGCUCUCGAAACCGGCGGCGGCCGACGGAGUUGAGACACCAGGGCGCCGGCGGGACCGGGAGCGGCAGGGGUCAGCGCGGGAAUCCCGGGGAGCCGGGGCCAGAGCGUGGGGCGGCAGGGUGCCGGGGUGGCGAGGUCUGCGGUCUCCGGAGUUGGGGCUCUCUCUCCCCGGCCCGUCUUUCCCCGCCGGCCUCCCCAACUGGGGUCGGAGCCCCGGCGGGCGCCCCCGGCAAUGAGCCCGGACUCGAGGUGGCCGGUGAGUGCGGGCCUGGGACCAGGGCGGGAGUGGCCAGCGGGGAAAGGCUAGACUACUUUCGUGGGGCGUGCACUGAGCUGCCCGGUCCGAGGGCCUCUUGGGCCACUCGAGCCGGGAGAACUGACAGUGCAUUAGCUCCCAGCCUGCGUCCCAGGGCAACAGAGUAUCCUCCAGGGCUCCCUGGGCCAAUGGCAGGAGGGGAGCCUUGUUUAACAUGUUACACUUCGACAAAAGGGAAACGUCGCCGCAUCCGGGAGAGGGCUGCGGGCACCGCCUGGGCCCGGCCUGAUCCCUCCGGCCCCCGCCCCCUACUUCCUCCAGCCCCCUGA
This 1257-nucleotide long non-coding RNA is filed under the name Felis catus (domestic cat). Its description in RNAcentral is "lncRNA (ENSFCAG00000049049.1)". The record is from RNAcentral. Lineage: Eukaryota; Metazoa; Chordata; Mammalia; Carnivora; Felidae.